Non-coding RNA from Coffea arabica (coffee), 399 nucleotides. The record is from RefSeq and is a predicted model, not a curated record. NCBI's taxonomy places the organism in Eukaryota, Viridiplantae, Streptophyta, Magnoliopsida, Gentianales, Rubiaceae.
UUAUGAUUCAGAUGUGUAACUAGGGUGGACAUCUCUUUGGAUUGAAGAGGAAGAUGGCAAAGCUAAGAUAGCUCCCAUGAAGAUGAAAGUUCAGUUCACGCUCCAAGUGCCCCAAGAUGAUAUCAAAUCCUCUGCUUUGACGUUCAGUGUGAAAAAGAGAUGGGACAUAUGACUUUAAAGGUUGCACAGUGAUGGUCUCUUCUUUUUUCACUGCAAUGAUGAACGUGGUGUAUCCGAAAAAAAAGAGAGAUGAACAUGGUGUAUCAAGUGAUAGUGCAGGCUUGAGUAUAGGUGUUGUAAUCAAUAUUGCUAUGCCAAACAGGUCACCAUAUUGGAUAGAAGAUUACCUUUAUUAUGAUAGAGCUGAAAAGAAAUGAUCAAGCAUUAUGCCUUGGAUAA